CAAAAACUACAUGCACGCCAAAUUGAAUAAGUAUUUCUCUACUUUGUGUGUAGGCUCCAAAAAAGCUUUAGCCAAGUUCAUAAGUUCAAGAUUUACGGCAAGGAUUUACUACAGUUAAUCAGGAAGCUAAAGCAUUAUUAAGAAGAUACAGAUAUCGUACAGGAUCCAUAAGAAACUAAUAGAAAGCAUAUGAAAGUUGCUGGAGGUAGAGGUAGCAGAUGCAGCUAAGGGGAGGAACAUGAAGAGAUUUUUGUUUUUUUAUGUUGUAGUUUCGUUUUACUUUUAUGAAUUGUACAAUAUAUUUUAGAAAUAUAUAGUAUAUUUGAAGUUUUAUAUGAAUUGUACAAUAUAUUUUGAGUUA
This is a long non-coding RNA of Rosa chinensis, 361 nucleotides long. RefSeq lists it as uncharacterized. Lineage: Eukaryota; Viridiplantae; Streptophyta; Magnoliopsida; Rosales; Rosaceae. The transcript has 3 exons. The record is from RefSeq and is a predicted model, not a curated record.